GGGGGUGUCCUCGUCCGGAGGGGCCUUUCGGCUCCGGGAAGGCGAGGCAGCGCUCAAUGCCCCAUGUUAAGCGCUCGGCUGGAGGAGGAGCGCUCUCCUCUCCCGCCGAGUCCCCUCUCCCCAGCAGGCAGCAAAGGGAGGGGGGUCCUGCCCUGCGGUGAGGAGGGCUGCGGCGUCCCGCUCUCCUCCUCAGGCCCCCCUUUCUCACCGGGCGGCCCGGCUGACUCACUGCUGUGGUGGGGAGAGCUCCUGAUCUUACUCUACCACUUCAGUCAAUGGCAGCUAUGGAUGCUCAGCACUCCUGAGAGAAACAGCCCAUUCAAAGUAAGCAGAUGGAGUCUAAUAUUUCCAUUUACUGAACUGAACAUUAGAAGACUGGGAAUUAAGUAGCAUUUGUCUAUAAGGUUACUCCUUCAACAAAGAUGUCACAGUAUUCUCCUAACUCUCCAUGUCUGCUUUACUUCAAAACCUUUGAGAAGAUAUUUAAAUAGUCACCAGACCAGCAUAAGUAAGAUGUGUGCUGACUUUUCAAGCUUUGCCUGUUUCCUGAGGAAAAUACCACAGUUCUCAAUUCCUGGGCGUCUCUGCAUGAAUGAUGCAACUGGAUUUAAUUGUAAAUCUGCUAUAAAAAGAUAAAACUGCAUUCAAAAAGUGCAAAUCUUUGAACUUAAAAUUCAGAACUUUCAUUUGGUUUUGGACAAAGAGUGAUUUGAAGACUGUUCAUGUACCUGUCUCUCUGCUCUGGAUUGUGUUUGCAGUCUACCACCUACCUGUUCACUUUGCUCUGAGGUUUGUGUUUACCUUUAUGUUGUCUGCUUUUUCCUGUUUUGGUUUUGGAGGCUAGGUAUUCUCCUGAAGCAACAAGUUCUCCUUUAAACUCCAAGAAGUACCACCUUGCUUCUGAAGUAUUUCAGGCUGCUUGGGUAAGAGAAGUCACUUCCAAAACUGCUUGAUAGCUUCAUGAUUGGUUUGCAGGCUGCAAGGUGAUGGCAACAAGAGAAUGUUUUGUAAGUAUGCACUGUGUACUUUAGAUUACUGACACCACAGAAGUUAAAGCAGCCUCAUUCAUGGUGGUUUGCUGUUUAAUAACAGUCCACAGAUACCUGCCUGUACCUAACCUUUCUGUGAGGCUCCUGCUUGAGCAUGUCCUAAAUGGAAUACACCAGAAUGCCCCAAGCCCCGCAUGGCUUGUGGGCAGUAUAUUACUUAGUGAGACUUUGACGUUGUUUGUAGCUAUGAGAAAUUCAAAGUUUGUAACAGAGGCUGGCAAGAACAAAAUUUGAUCUUACCUGCAGUAUGUUACUUACUUAGUAUUGUCCCCAGCAGAGUAGCAAAAGUUUGGUUCCCUAGACUAUAAAGAAUACCUAAAAAAUAUUUCAAGUAAUAAAAUUAAUGAAUGUAUUCAUAUUGUUCUUAAUUAGAUAAAGAAAGCAAUUUUUAGUAUGUGGAGGAAGAAGAGAAAAUACUACAUGAAACAUUUUCAGUGCAAACUCUUAGAUUUAGAGCACACUUUGAACAAGAAUUAUAUAAUAGCAUGAUGGUGGUUAACGCAUUACAACAGCAAAUGAAGACAUCUUUCUUACAGUAUCUGAACAGAACCAAAAGGAAUCUAUGCCUUCCUUUUAAGUCUUUAUGUGCAUAUUUAUAGUAUAAUUAUGAAAUUUCAACUGUUUGCAAUGCUUUUGCUGACCAAUGGUCUUUUUCUCUCAGUGUCCUAACUGCAAGACUAUCUUUGGAUUGUGGCAGUUUAUAUUGAAGAAAUGAGUUGGAACAGAGGUCUGGGGAGCUAUGUGAUGUGGAAAUAACAUUUCUUGUUAUUUUGGAUAGUUACAGGGAUCGACUGAGUAAGGUAGGAUAAUAGAAGCACAAUACGUGACACUUUAUGCUUGAAAAUCAAAGACUAAACAACAUGUCUCUAUUCCAGUCAUUACUUGUAGGAGAUGGAAUUACUUCUCAGUGUUUCAAUGAGUUCUGUGUACUCUGACCCAAGUAUCCACAGCAGGCCCCCCUGCCUGAGCACAAGGUCUGGCCCUCAUUUCUGGUAAAUAAUUGUGUAGCACUUCUGGGAAUUAGUAUUAUCACAUGUGUUUAAUAAAAAAGAUUCACAGAGUAAAAAUCAUACUGUAAAUUCUUUAGUAAACUGUGACUUGCAUCCUAACUCCGAGUUUCUCUGAUUGCGUACAGAUUGCUGCUAAAUCAGAAUAAGAAGCUCACAGGAUGGCUCCUGGUUUCAUAAGAAGGACCUGGCAAUGUUGGAAAUUAUAAUCAAAUUACCUGAAAUCCUUUAAUUUAGCCAGGCAGAGUAAUAAGUGACAUGGUUGUCUUGCUCUUUUUACACCAAGCUAUUUUGCUUUAUGUUGUAGUACCAAACCAACUUGUCAAAUUACUUGUACCUUUUUUGAGCUGAACUUUUGGAUUAUGACCUCCUCCUGACCCAAAGACACUGAAUGCAGUUUAAUACUGAGGCAGGCCCCAUCAACUCAGCAUCUCGUUUGGAGUAACUCCCACAGAUGUUGUUCCAAAGGAAGUUUCAGGUGCUGGAGGACAAGUUGAAGUCAGUUUAGUUUAUCUUGAUAUAAUAGUUUGAGUUCAUACUGCAUUUACUUUAAUUUGAACUGUAUAAUUGCAACCCAUAGGUUAACACCCCUUCCCCUUUCAGAGACAUGGGAAAGUCCAAGAUGGUUUGAAGCAAAUUAUCAGAGGAAAUAUCUGUGAAGACUUGUCACUAUUUUGUGGUGAUAUAUUUUUGGAAGCAUUUUUUUCCUCUGUUAAUGUAACAUUGUAAUACUUCAGUUACAGGCAUCAGAGUUUAUUUUGGAUAAGUAAGUUGGAAAACUGCUAUCUUGCAAUUUAGAAAUGAUCCAUUUUAAUAGAUACACUCGUCAAUAAGGAAUAUUUCAUAUUAAAAAUUA
Molecule: long non-coding RNA, 2912 nt
Organism: Athene cunicularia (burrowing owl)
Lineage: Eukaryota; Metazoa; Chordata; Aves; Strigiformes; Strigidae
Exons: 4
Source: RefSeq, a predicted model, not a curated record